AACGAACGCUGGCGGCAUGCCUAACACAUGCAAGUCGAACGAGAACGCCGGGUUUUGUGGCGCACGGCUGCGUAAGGAGGGGGAAGUUGCACGGGGGUUAGGAAUACCUCCCUGAGGGGGGUCUUAAGACAGGAUAGGGUCUUAGGACCUAAGAUUUAUUGCCGUUGGAUGGGCGCGCGUUGGAUUAGCUGGUUGGUAGGGUAAUAGCCUACCAAGGGGAGGAUGCAUAGCUGGUCUGUGAGGAUGAUCAGCCACACUGGAGCUGAGACACGGCCCAGACUCCGACGGAAGGGAGGAGUGGGGAAUAUUGGACAAUGGGCGAAGGCCUGAUCCAGCCAUGCCGCGUGAGAGAUGAAGGCCGUAGUGUUGUAAUGCUCUUUUACCCGGGAUGAUAAUGACGGUACCGGGAGAAUAAGCUCCGGCUAACUCCGUG
Molecule: ribosomal RNA, 433 nt
Filed under: uncultured bacterium
Lineage: Bacteria
Description: partial 16S ribosomal RNA
Rfam family: Bacterial small subunit ribosomal RNA
Source: RNAcentral